RNAcentral lists this ribosomal RNA (349 nucleotides) under uncultured bacterium. Its description in RNAcentral is "bacterial SSU rRNA". It matches the Rfam family "Bacterial small subunit ribosomal RNA", at positions 445 to 793 of the family's 1533-position model. The record is from RNAcentral.
UGGGUAUGUUAAUAGCAUACUCAUUUGACGUUAGCUGCAGAAGAAGCACCGGCUAACUCCGUGCCAGCAGCCGCGGUAAUACGGAGGGUGCGAGCGUUAAUCGGAAUUACUGGGCGUAAAGCGCAUGCAGGUGGUUUGUUAAGUCAGAUGUGAAAGCCCGGGGCUCAACCUCGGAAUUGCAUUUGAAACUGGCAAACUAGAGUACUGUAGAGGGGGUAGAAUUUCAGGUGUAGCGGUGAAAUGCGUAGAGAUCUGAAGGAAUACCGGUGGCGAAGGCGGCCCCCCUGGACAGAUACUGACACUCAGAUGCGAAAGCGUGGGGAGCAAACAGGAUUAGAUACCCCGGUAG